Molecule: transfer RNA, 75 nt
Filed under: Candidatus Babelota bacterium
Lineage: Bacteria
Also listed under: 1 other name
Description: tRNA-Asn
Rfam family: tRNA
About the family: Transfer RNA (tRNA) molecules are approximately 80 nucleotides in length. Their secondary structure includes four short double-helical elements and three loops (D, anti-codon, and T loops).
Source: RNAcentral
UCCUCGGUAGCUCAGUGGUAGAGCAAACGACUGUUAAUCGUUGGGUCGCAGGUUCAAAUCCUGCCCGAGGAGCCA